GUCGGUAUCGAUUAGGGGUUAAAUCACCUCGUUGUGGCGUAGUUUCUCCGAGGAGCCACUGGUUCGAUUCCAGUUACCGACA
Molecule: non-coding RNA, 82 nt
Organism: Hymenopellis radicata
Lineage: Eukaryota; Fungi; Basidiomycota; Agaricomycetes; Agaricales; Physalacriaceae
Source: the annotation of a GenBank genome assembly